UUAGCUUAUUGCAGUGAUUAAUGAAACACAGAACGUCUGGGUUUCAGCAGUGGGAUUGGAUUUCUGAUCUGGAAUCGCAAGUUGAUUGUUCUCAAGUUGCUGACAACAUCUCCCCUGAUCACGGCCGGGAAACUGUGCCCGGGUGUUUUGAAGCAAAUCCCAGGUAUCCAGGCACCUGGGAACCUUAGCUCCUUCAGAGUGCACUUCUGAAAGCAAACCGAAUCAGCGUAGUGCUGGGUAUGGAAGGCCCACCUGAGGAUUGUUACCAACAGCAGAAAAGGAGAACUGGGAGGGAAGAUGGAAGAGCCAGAAGUUGCACCGUGCUGAAUCCUGUGCAUAAGGUUGGUGAGGACACCCUGGAAUGUGUUUGCAAGCCUGCCUUUCUGUAGGAUGGCACUCAGCAGCAGCAGUCACCGUAUUUUUUUUAAAAA
Chinchilla lanigera (long-tailed chinchilla) is the source of this 431-nucleotide long non-coding RNA. RefSeq lists it as uncharacterized. The record is from RefSeq and is a predicted model, not a curated record. The transcript is spliced from 4 exons. NCBI's taxonomy places the organism in Eukaryota, Metazoa, Chordata, Mammalia, Rodentia, Chinchillidae.